Molecule: ribosomal RNA, 381 nt
Filed under: uncultured eukaryote
Lineage: Eukaryota
Description: bacterial SSU rRNA
Rfam family: Eukaryotic small subunit ribosomal RNA
Source: RNAcentral
CAAUAGCGUAUAUUAAAGUUGUUGCAGUUAAAAAGCUCGUAGUUGGAUGUCUGGCUCUGUGUUGCGGUCCACCGCAAGGUGAGCACUGCGAUGUGGGGUCUUCCUCUUGAAUGCUGCGUGUGCUCUUAGUUGAGUGUGCGUGGGGUUUGGGAUCUUUACUUUGAAAAAUUAGAGUGUUCAAAGCAGGCGAUUGCUUGAAUAUAUUAGCAUGGAAUAAUGGAAUAGGACUUGGGUUCUAUUUUGUUGGUUUCUAGGACCGAGGUAAUGAUUAAUAGGGGUAGUUGGGGGCGAUUCGUAUUUAAUUAGUCAGAGGUGGAAAUUACUUUGGAGUUUGUUUAAAGUAACGGACGUACUGCGAAAGACAUUUGUCCAACGGAAGUG